This is a long non-coding RNA of Zonotrichia albicollis (white-throated sparrow), 1887 nucleotides long. NCBI's taxonomy places the organism in Eukaryota, Metazoa, Chordata, Aves, Passeriformes, Passerellidae. The record is from Ensembl.
AACUGGUUACUGACCAGCCUGAUUGGGUUCUGAGUGACCAGACAAAUAGAAGGUGGAAUAGUUUGUGUUUUUACCCUGCUAAAAGGGAUUUAUUCCUGCUUAAGGUUCUUGCUCAGUGACUGCUUUUUGGGAGCAGCCUGUUCUUUAUUUUACCAGGUUUAUGCAUUUUCCCAUGCAAUGUAAAUACUUGUAUUUUAUUUAAGCCAUCUGUGGUGAGAUAUUCAGUAUCUCUGGCUUUGGGAUAAGGCAGGAAAAAUUCUUGAAACCCAGCUAGAAGAUAUUUGGACAAUGGCACAGGUCAGGCUGCAAGACUUGCCCUUGAUCCCCAUCAGGGUUUAUCAGCCAUUAAUCCCCUCUGCAGCACAGUUCCAUCUGGGAAUGUAAGUGGUUACAAGUGUUUGGACCUUUUAUUCAAUGUGCCAUGUGCUUUAUUUUCACUUACAGUAUUUGGUGGCAUCACAGCUGUUGGGUUUUUGUAAUAGAAUGAGCUCUUACAGCUAAAAUGUCUGUAAAAAUUGUAUAACAGUUUAUUGUUUUAAAAAGAAGUGUGCUAUGUCAGGCCCAAACUGUCUGUAAAAUAUUUUAACAGAUGAAAUUUAUUUGACUCCAUAGCUGUAGAAACCUUAUUUUUUUUUCUAAAACUGGGACAUUUGCUAAAAUUAUUGUUGAAAUGUGGAGAAGUACCUUGCUGGUUGUUUUACACAGUGAAUUGGAAGAAUGUUUCACAUUGAAAAGUAACUGUGUUGGAAAUACCUCUCUGUACAAAGGUCAGCAGGGAUGUUCAGUGUCCUGAGCUUUCCCUCGUGUUGUAUCAUCAUAAAAUUAAAGGGAAUGACAAAGUUUGUAACUUUGGACUCAGAGAGUCAAGGAAAGGACAGGAGGGAAGGGCAGGGGGUGGCCCAAAGGAUCAGUGUCACAUCCUUGGGAAUGCUGCAGGUGGAGGUGCCAAGGGAGGAGCAAACCCAGAAGGUAAAGGAGGAGCACUCAGUGAGGUUGCACUGGCCCAACACAGACCAAUUUAUUAAUGAUAAUAUUUUUACACUCAUAAAUAGUAAAGGCAGUUUAUACCAAAGGAAAGGUUUCCCUUCACCCUCUCUUCUGGCAGAGCUGCCAGAACACCAAAGCAGCAGCAGAGCAGACAGCUCUGAUGCCCAGCCCUCCUCAGGCAGGGAGAGCUGCCUGCCAUGGCUUUGGGAGGGUUGGCAUUGGCCAUGCAGGGAAAAUCAGGCUUUCAGUCAAUAUACAGAAUUUUUUCUACAGGCUACCAUGCUGGCAGGAUUGGCAAUACUUUGUAUUCAGCAGCUGAAACAUCAAUCUGAAGCAGUGGAAAGAGACUUUUUCUGUAUGGGUACACUUGUCUAACUGGGAAUGUGGUGGAGCUGCUGAUUAAAAAAUUAAACACCUCUUAAUCAGGAUGUGGUACCAAAUAUAAACAUUUACUGUUGUGGAAAACCUGCCAGUUUAGUUAAGUGCAUGUGCUGCACUGGACUGCAGAGAGAGCUCCUUUUCAACACAUCUGAAUUCCCCCCAAACAUGCAAAUAUCUGUGGAGUUUAAGUCUGAAUUCCUAUAUUAAGAUCUAUGUAUAGUUCAGAUUAUUUUGUAUAGCAUUUUUUAAUCCCACCUCCACCAGGUGUGAUUAAAUUCAAUCCCACCUCUUGCCUCAGACAAUUCUCUAGCCAAGCUCAGGACGGGCACACCCCAGAGCCUGGCAGCUCUUCAAAUCUCCUGAGGAUGUUUUGUUGAGGAACUUUUUCAGUUUGGAAAAGCCACAGCACUGCACUGAGCUGUGUCUCAGGCUUUGCUGCUUCCCACAGCCCUGAAGGAGGCGCUGGUUUGAGCUGUGCCCCCGAGCAGGGCAAUAAAUCAAUAAAAUCCCUUUGGGCCA